CCCUUAGAUGUUCUGGGCCGCCCGCGUGCUACACUGAGUGGAUCAGCGGGUCAGGUUGCGCGAAAGUGUUUCCUAAUCUUUAAAUCCGCUCGUGAUGGGGAUUGACGGUUGCAAUUUUCCGUCAUGAACGAGGAAUACCUUGUAAGCGCGGGUCAUCAUCCCGCGCUGAAUACGUCCCUGCCCUUUGUACACACCGCCCGUCGCUCCUACCGAUUGAGUGGUCCGGUGAGGCUUUGGGAUCUGAGCGGAAAGAGCGUUUCGCUGUUUCUGCCCGGAAAACUCAGUCGAACCUUAUCAUUUAGAGGAAGGAGAAGUCGUAACA
RNAcentral lists this ribosomal RNA (322 nucleotides) under uncultured eukaryote. RNAcentral's name for it is "partial 18S ribosomal RNA". It matches the Rfam family "Eukaryotic small subunit ribosomal RNA", at positions 1470 to 1796 of the family's 1831-position model. The record is from RNAcentral.